AAGUCGUAACAAGGUUUCCGUAGGUGAACCUGCGGAAGGAUCAUUACCAAAUCCAAAACCUUAUCAACACCUAAACAUGUGCACUGAGAGUGGUCCGUUCUCCCACUUUCCUUCUCCGCUUUUUUCUUAAAAAAAAACCGGGGAAAGGCGUGAGGGAGAGCGUUUUUUUUCUCAACCCCUUUUCAACCAUUACCUUAACCAUGUGAUGCUGAAAGCAAACAAAAACGAAACAUGAGACAACUUUUAACGGUGGAUCUCUUGGCUCGU
RNAcentral lists this unclassified non-coding RNA (267 nucleotides) under fungal sp. RNAcentral's name for it is "partial internal transcribed spacer region". The stretch from base 1 to 46 matches the Rfam family "Eukaryotic small subunit ribosomal RNA", at positions 1786 to 1831 of the family's 1831-position model. The record is from RNAcentral. Lineage: Eukaryota; Fungi.